UACGGAGGGUGCAAGCGUUAUCCGGAUUCACUGGGUUUAAAGGGUGCGUAGGUGGGUAAGUAAGUCAGUGGUGAAAUCUCCGGGCUUAACCCGGAAACUGCCAUUGAUACUAUUUGUCUUGAAUACUGUGGAGGUCAGCGGAAUAUGUCAUGUAGCGGUGAAAUGCUUAGAUAUGACCCAGAACACCAAUUGCGAAGGCAGCUCGCUAAACCAUAACUGACGCUGAUGCACGAAAGCGUGGGGAGCAAACAGG
RNAcentral lists this ribosomal RNA (253 nucleotides) under uncultured bacterium. Its description in RNAcentral is "partial 16S ribosomal RNA". It matches the Rfam family "Bacterial small subunit ribosomal RNA", at positions 524 to 776 of the family's 1533-position model. The record is from RNAcentral.